GACGAACGCUGGCGGCGUGCUUAACACAUGCAAGUCGAACGGAAAGGCCCUGCUUUUGUGGGGUGCUCGAGUGGCGAACGGGUGAGUAACACGUGAGUAACCUGCCCUUGACUUUGGGAUAACUUCAGGAAACUGGGGCUAAUACCGGAUAGGAGCUCCUGCUGCAUGGUGGGGGUUGGAAAGUUUCGGCGGUUGGGGAUGGACUCGCGGCUUAUCAGCUUGUUGGUGGGGUAGUGGCUUACCAAGGCUUUGACGGGUAGCCGGCCUGAGAGGGUUACCGGCCACAUUGGGACUGAGAUACGGCCCAGACUCCUACGGGAGGCAGCAGUGGGGAAUAUUGCACAAUGGGCGGAAGCCUGAUGCAGCAACGCCGCGUGCGGGAUGACGGCCUUCGGGUUGUAAACCGCUUUCGCCUGUGACGAAGCGUGAGUGACGGUAAUGGGUAAAAAAGCACCGGCUAACUACGUG
This 468-nucleotide ribosomal RNA is filed under the name uncultured bacterium. RNAcentral describes it as "partial 16S ribosomal RNA". It matches the Rfam family "Bacterial small subunit ribosomal RNA", at positions 28 to 507 of the family's 1533-position model. The record is from RNAcentral.